GGAGAGAUGGCAGAGCGGUUGAAUGCGGCGGUCUUGAAAACCGUUGGGCGCGCAAGCGUUCCGGGGGUUCGAAUCCCCCUCUCUCCGCCA
This 90-nucleotide transfer RNA is filed under the name Collinsella tanakaei. RNAcentral's name for it is "tRNA-Ser". It matches the Rfam family "tRNA". From Rfam's summary of the family: Transfer RNA (tRNA) molecules are approximately 80 nucleotides in length. Their secondary structure includes four short double-helical elements and three loops (D, anti-codon, and T loops). Further hydrogen bonds mediate the characteristic L-shaped molecular structure. tRNAs have two regions of fundamental functional importance: the anti-codon, which is responsible for specific mRNA codon recognition, and the 3' end, to which the tRNAs corresponding amino acid is attached (by aminoacyl-tRNA synthetases). tRNAs cope with the degeneracy of the genetic code in two manners: having more than one tRNA (with a specific anti-codon) for a particular amino acid; and 'wobble' base-pairing, i.e. permitting non-standard base-pairing at the 3rd anti-codon position. The record is from RNAcentral. RNAcentral also lists the same sequence under 3 other names. Lineage: Bacteria; Bacillati; Actinomycetota; Coriobacteriia; Coriobacteriales; Coriobacteriaceae.